AUUGAACGCUGGCGGCAGGCCUAACACAUGCAAGUCGAGCGGAUGAAGGGAGCUUGCUCCUGGAUUCAGCGGCGGACGGGUGAGUAAUGCCGAGGAAUCUGCCUGGUAGUGGGGGAUAACGUCCGGAAACGGGCGCUAAUACCGCAUACGUCCUGAGGGAGAAAGUGGGGGAUCUUCGGACCUCACGCUAUCAGAUGAGCCUAGGUCGGAUUAGCUAGUUGGUGGGGUAAAGGCCUACCAAGGCGACGAUCCGUAACUGGUCUGAGAGGAUGAUCAGUCACACUGGAACUGAGACACGGUCCAGACUCCUACGGGAGGCAGCAGUGGGGAAUAUUGGACAAUGGGCGAAAGCCUGAUCCAGCCAUGCCGCGUGUGUGAAGAAGGUCUUCGGAUUGUAAAGCACUUUAAGUUGGGAGGAAGGGCAGUAAGUUAAUACCUUGCUGUUUUGACGUUACCAACAGAAUAAGCACCGGCUAACUUCGUG
This 484-nucleotide ribosomal RNA is filed under the name uncultured bacterium. Its description in RNAcentral is "partial 16S ribosomal RNA". It matches the Rfam family "Bacterial small subunit ribosomal RNA", at positions 30 to 507 of the family's 1533-position model. The record is from RNAcentral.